Molecule: ribosomal RNA, 465 nt
Filed under: Vreelandella stevensii
Lineage: Bacteria; Pseudomonadati; Pseudomonadota; Gammaproteobacteria; Oceanospirillales; Halomonadaceae
Description: partial 16S ribosomal RNA
Rfam family: Bacterial small subunit ribosomal RNA
Source: RNAcentral
CCUACGGGCGGCUGCAGUGGGGAAUAUUGGACAAUGGGCGAAAGCCUGAUCCAGCCAUGCCGCGUGUGUGAAGAAGGCCUUCGGGUUGUAAAGCACUUUCAGUGGGGAAGAAAGCCUUGGGGCUAAUACCCUCGAGGAAGGACAUCACCCACAGAAGAAGCACCGGCUAACUCCGUGCCAGCAGCCGCGGUAAUACGGAGGGUGCGAGCGUUAAUCGGAAUUACUGGGCGUAAAGCGCGCGUAGGCGGUCUGAUAAGCCGGUUGUGAAAGCCCCGGGCUCAACCUGGGAACGGCAUCCGGAACUGUCAGGCUAGAGUGCAGGAGAGGAAGGUAGAAUUCCCGGUGUAGCGGUGAAAUGCGUAGAGAUCGGGAGGAAUACCAGUGGCGAAGGCGGCCUUCUGGGCUGACACUGACGCUGAGGUGCGAAAGCGUGGGUAGCAAACAGGAUUAGAUACCCCAGUAGUC